UGGUAAGAUGGUCCAUCCUCAUGCAAAUGUUAUCAAUACAAAUCAGCAAUGAUUAAAAAAACCAGCCCACAUUAGCUGCAAUCUCAGAGUCAGAUCAUGCAAACAAUUGACUAUCAAAUGAUUAUGAUGGACUAAGAUUCAUGCUUGUGCAAAGCAAGAAUUGAAAAAGCACAAAGCAUGAGUCAGAUUCAUGCUUGUGUUAACUUAGUAGUGUAGGAUUUGAUUU
Molecule: long non-coding RNA, 226 nt
Filed under: Gossypium raimondii (Peruvian cotton)
Lineage: Eukaryota; Viridiplantae; Streptophyta; Magnoliopsida; Malvales; Malvaceae
Description: long non-coding RNA (GRAI_LNC004999)
Source: RNAcentral